RNA transcript from Tarenaya hassleriana, 2519 nucleotides. It is a transcript of the gene named D-xylose-proton symporter-like 3, chloroplastic, with no coding region annotated. The transcript has 20 exons. Lineage: Eukaryota; Viridiplantae; Streptophyta; Magnoliopsida; Brassicales; Cleomaceae. The record is from RefSeq and is a predicted model, not a curated record.
UUUAUUUGGAAAAAAAAAUCAAGAAUCCAGGGAUAGAUAAACCACCGAAUUCUUGGGAGAAUCUUCAGGCUUCAGUUCUCUCUCCCCGAUCAUGGCUUCCACUGUUUCAGUUCAGUCCCACUUCAUCCCCAGAUUCUUACAUCCAAAUCGAUCGAAGAGCCCUAAACGUCGUACCUUCUCCUCGUGUUUCAACUCAAGUCCUGACCCCUUUUGCCUCCUUCUCAAGGAACCCACUUGCCUGAUUUCCGAGCCGCGCUCAAUCACUAAGCAACAUCAAAGAUUCCGGACCCGAGUUCGGACGAGAAGGGAGUUCGCUGAUGGUGGAGAAGAACCGGGCUCGCUUGCUUCUGAUGCAUCAGAGGCCUUUUCAUGGUCUUCUGUGAUAAUUCCGUUUUUAUUCCCGGCAUUGGGGGGACUAUUGUUCGGGUAUGAUAUUGGUGCCACCUCUGGUGCCACCAUCUCUCUGCAGUCACCCGAGCUUAGUGGUACUGCCUGGUUUAACCUUUCACCUGUUCAGCUGGGACUUGUGGUUAGUGGAUCCUUAUACGGUGCCCUUUUUGGGUCGCUUCUUGUCUAUGGCAUUGCUGAUUUCCUUGGGAGAAGGCGAGAACUUAUCAUAGCUGCUGUUCUCUAUCUGCUUGGUUCCCUUGUCACUGCCUGUGCCCCUGAUCUUGGUAUUCUUUUAUUCGGAAGGCUUCUUUAUGGCUUGGGCAUUGGCAUGGCAAUGCAUGGUGCUCCUCUCUAUAUAGCUGAGACUUGUCCAUCUCAGAUCCGUGGAACUCUAAUAUCACUAAAGGAGCUGUUUAUCGUGUUAGGAAUUCUGUUGGGUUACUUUGUUGGAAGCUUUACGAUUGAUGUAGUUGGAGGGUGGCGAUACAUGUAUGGAGUUGGUUCUCCUGUUGCUUUGCUGAUGGGGCUAGGCAUGUGGAGCCUCCCUCCAUCUCCACGCUGGUUACUUCUUAGGGCAGUCCAGGGCAAAGGCUCUUUACAAGAAUACAAAGACAGGGCCAUGCUUGCCCUCAGCAAACUGCGUGGUAGGCCUCCGGGUGAUAAAAUGUCCGAAAAACAAAUAAACGAUGCCCUUUUGUCUGUGAAAUCUGCCUACGAAGAUGAACAAUCCGGAGGAAACUUCCUGGAAGUGUUUCAAGGGCCUAAUUUGAAAGCUUUGAUAAUUGGUGGAGGUUUAGUCCUUUUCCAGCAGAUAACUGGACAACCAAGCGUUCUUUAUUACGCCGGUUCCAUUCUUCAGAGUGCUGGAUUUUCUGCGGCUGCUGAUGCAACCCGAGUUUCUGUCAUUGUUGGUCUCUUCAAGUUACUGAUGACAUGGAUAGCUGUUGCGAAAGUUGAUGAUAUUGGAAGACGACCUUUACUGAUUGGAGGUGUCAGUGGCAUUGCUCUGUCUUUAUUUCUACUUUCAGCAUAUUACAAGUUUCUCGGAGGCUUUCCUCUUGUCGCAGUUGCCGCACUUCUUCUCUAUGUUGGUUGCUACCAGAUUUCUUUUGGACCCAUCAGCUGGUUAAUGGUAUCUGAGAUUUUUCCACUCCGUACAAGAGGGAAAGGUAUUAGCUUGGCAGUUCUCACUAACUUCGGCUCGAAUGCUGCUGUGACCUUUGCAUUCUCACCCUUGAAGGAAUUGCUUGGCGCAGAGAACCUUUUCCUUCUCUUUGGAGCCGUAGCGCUGAUUAUGGUACCUAAACUUCUACUAGCCAGACGAAAACAUGGGCUUGAGGAGUUGAUAGCUGAUACCAUCAGGACAAGCAACGACAAGUUUAGCUCACAUCAGCCUAUCUACUGUUUUCCCAGUUUAUUUCACUGAAAUGAUAAGUAUGCAUUCCGUAAAUAUGCUUCAAGGAAUUGUGACGAGAUUGCUGCAUGCUCUGGUGUAGCCAUAGUCAGUUUCGCUCUUGCUGUUUUCAAAAUAAUGGGCAAGUACCCUAAAAUAACUUCACAUUCAAAACAUAUGUCUUAUAAAAGACAUAUUAGCUGAAGAGGAACUGGUUGCUGGCAUUCUCGGCCGGUGUUUCACUGCUUAAAGUGGAUAUACCAAUUCCAGCAAUAUCGAAAGAUAUGUCUAGAAAAAUCCACAUUCUGUUUCAGGCGUUAUUUGACCUUUACAAGGUUAAUUUUCGGGGAGACUCUGUGAACACAACAUAUGUCUAGCUUUGAAACCAGCUCGGCCUCCUCAGCUACAAAGUUUCCUUCUAGUUUACUGUCAACAGUAUCAAAUUUGCUUCAUGGCAACUAGGUUGCUGUUGGAUGAAGACGCAGAGCUCCAAACACUUGCUUAUACACACACAACAAUCUGGGGUGCUGGCUUCAGCGACCACCAAAUAAAACGGUAUUGUAUUAUCUGCCUCAUGGUAGGUCUAUUUUCUGGGGUAUUCUGUGAACAAAGCAGGCCUAGCUUCAAAACCAUCUCAACUUCCUCAGGUGGCCUUUCUGGGUCUACUGGCCUCCUUCCACAAACCACCUCAAGCAUGAAAGCUCCAAAAGCAUAGACAUCAGUCCAAGUAGUGGCU